UUGUCGGCGACCGGCGCACGGGUGAGUAACGCGUAUCCAACCUUCCCUAUACUAGAGGAUAGCCCGGCGAAAGUCGGAUUAAUACUCUAUGUUGUUCUUUGCGGACAUCUAAUUUGAACCAAAGGUUUUUCCGGAUAGGAUGGGGAUGCGUCUGAUUAGGUAGUCGGCGGGGUAACGGCCCACCGAGCCAACGAUCAGUAGGGGUUCUGAGAGGAAGGUCCCCCACAUUGGAACUGAGACACGGUCCAAACUCCUACGGGAGGCAGCAGUGAGGAAUAUUGGUCAAUGGGCGAGAGCCUGAACCAGCCAAGUAGCCGUGCAGGAUGACGGCCCUAUGGGUUGUAAACUGCUUUUGUAUGGGAAUAAAGUGAGGGACGUGUCCCUUUUUGUAUGUACCAUAAGAAUAAGGACCGGCUAAUUCCGUGCCAGCCGCCGC
Molecule: ribosomal RNA, 436 nt
Filed under: uncultured bacterium
Lineage: Bacteria
Description: bacterial SSU rRNA
Rfam family: Bacterial small subunit ribosomal RNA
Source: RNAcentral